Arachis stenosperma is the source of this 766-nucleotide long non-coding RNA. RefSeq lists it as uncharacterized. The transcript has 4 exons. The record is from RefSeq and is a predicted model, not a curated record. NCBI's taxonomy places the organism in Eukaryota, Viridiplantae, Streptophyta, Magnoliopsida, Fabales, Fabaceae.
CUUCCAGCACCGAGAAGAGAGAUUGAAGAGAGCAAAGCCACCAAAACCUAAACCCUUAUCAAUUUUCAAUUCAUCAUAACUUUCGAUCCGGAAUUCUGAUUCACGAGCCGUUUGCAGCCACGCGUUCGUCUCAGAGUUCUCUUCAAUUCUAUCCUAACAAAGUGGUGCAAACUAAAAUUGGAUAAUUGUUGGGUUGCACUCCAAUCAUUAAUGGAUAUGGGGUGAAUUGAGUUAUAUAUAUGCAUUGGGUUUGAGUUGGGAGUACUUGGAGGCUUGUUGGUGAUCAAGCUUGGUUUGGGCUGUUUUAAUUGAGCUUGGAGGGGCUGUAAUUUUGAGUUGUAAGGCUGCCUUGGGUGAAUUAAGUGAUCGGCCAAGAUGCAGGUCGAGAGGCUCCUUGCUAGACGUCUGGAUCCUGGGAAGCGAAGUAGUCAUUGGGUGUAUUUUGGUUUCUGUUUGUAUACAUGUAUAUAUAUGUUUAGCUUACUCUCCAAGUAACUUAUGUACGCUGCUCCUCUUAGAGGUUGAGGGAGAGAAAGGAGUUACUUUGGUAUUUUGGUAUAUUUUGGGGAUACCCAUGUAUGUUCAUAUGUAUGUAUAUAUAUCCUCUGGCCAGCCUUAGCUUCGCAGGCUGAGUCAGGGGCUAGUUAUACUGUUUCCUUGUCUUUCCUUUACAUCUCGAUUUACCUUUAUCUUUUUCCUAUUAGGUUUCUCAGUACGCAAGUAAUCCUAUUCCUUGAGCGUUGCGCUUUUAAUUUUCACGAUUAUU